GGAAGACCUCUUUUCGGCUCAGGUAAAAUCAGUUGACAUAUAACUUUAGCUAUUAGAAAACUGAAAAGCUGUGUGGCUUUUUGGAUGCCUUUUUUUAAUGUGGUAGAAAAACUGAUGAUAUUAUUUCAUAAGGGUAUGCAUAUUUAUGUGCAAGAUUUCCUAAGAUUAGGCUAACUAUUUAGGUAGAUAUACAUAUCUAAUCCUAUAAUCAAGCUAAUAGAGAAUCUAUAGAUUUGUUUCCUAAUCCUACAACUUCUGUAACACUUUUUAUUGACAUUGUAGUGAAUAUUGAUUAUUUAAUUAAUUAUAUGAUACAAUGGUAUGUUUGCAGUUAAGAUAGAUCUGCAUCAGCAUACAACAUUUCGUUAAAUAUGUCAAAUUUUGAAAGUUCAUAUACUUUAGUUUGUCCACUUCAAUGCCUUUUAAUACCGUUUCUUUCUUCCUCCUUUUUCUUUUCUAUUUUUCUAUUUUCCUCUAAGC
Molecule: unclassified non-coding RNA, 480 nt
Filed under: Hevea brasiliensis (rubber tree)
Lineage: Eukaryota; Viridiplantae; Streptophyta; Magnoliopsida; Malpighiales; Euphorbiaceae
Source: RNAcentral